Molecule: long non-coding RNA, 452 nt
Filed under: Numida meleagris (helmeted guineafowl)
Lineage: Eukaryota; Metazoa; Chordata; Aves; Galliformes; Numididae
Description: lncRNA (ENSNMEG00000002823.1)
Source: RNAcentral
CCUGAAUCAAAACCUGAAGCUGUCAACUUGCUGAAGUAGAUCCCGUUGCCACCUGAAUUAUUCCAGCAACCGCAUUAUGUACGUGGUGGACACUGAUUGACAAUUGUCAUUUGGCAAAAGAGCUGUUGUGGAAAAACCUGUGAAAACUUCUAGUGCCCGUGACCCAGUCCCUGCAUCAAUGCAUGUGCAAGGUGUAUACAAAAAACUAGACUGCAUCAACAGUUCCCCAUUUUCAGCCGCUCUGUGGUCGAUGACCAGAAUGGUGUCCAAACUGGAAGAAAACAUUACUCCUUAAUCUCACCAAAAUUUGAUAGCGAAGCUGAGCACUGGAGGAGUCUCAGUGGCGACUCCGAACCCCUAAGCUUUAUCCAGGGAUUUCUCAGCAUCGCCUGUCCGCUUUGCUAGGGGAAAGGGUGGUGACGAGGCAGUAGCCGUGAGGCAAGACGAGUAUU